Molecule: ribosomal RNA, 440 nt
Filed under: uncultured bacterium
Lineage: Bacteria
Description: partial 16S ribosomal RNA
Rfam family: Bacterial small subunit ribosomal RNA
Source: RNAcentral
CCUACGGGUGGCAGCAGUGGGGAAUAUUGCACAAUGGGGGAAACCCUGAUGCAGCGACGCCGCGUGAGUGAAGAAGUAAUUCGUUACGUAAAGCUCUAUCAGCAGGGAAGAAAAUGACGGUACCUGAGUAAGAAGCCCCGGCUAACUACGUGACAGCAGCCGCGGUAAUACGUAGGGGGAAAGCGUUAUCCGGAUGUACUGGGUGUAAAGGGAGCGUAGACGGUGCGCCAAGUCUGGAGUGAAAUGCCGCAGCUUAACUGCGGAACUGCUUUGGAAACUGGCGAAAUAGAGUGCGGGAGGGGUAAGCGGAAUUCCUAGUGUAGCGGUGAAAUGCGUAGAUAUUAGGAGGAACUCCGAUUGCGAAGGCAGCAUACCGGCGCUCAACUGACGCUGAGGCACGAAAGCGUGGGGAUCGAACAGGAUUAGAUACCCUUGUAGUC